GUGGUCUCAUGUCUAGUAUAAGCAUUAUACAGCGAAACUGCGAAUGGCUCAUUAUAUAAGUUAUCGUUUAUUUGAUAGUACCUUACUACUUGGAUAACCGUGGUAAUUCUAGAGCUAAUACAUGCUAAAAAUCCCGACUUCGGAAGGGAUGUAUUUAUUAGAUUAAAAACCAAUGCCCUUCGGGGCUCACUGGUGAUUCAUGAUAACUCCUCGAAUCGCAUGGCCUUGUGCCGGCGAUGGUUCAUUCAAAUUUCUUCCCUAUCAACUUUCGAUGUUUGGGUAUUGGCCAAACAUGGUUGCAACGGGUAACGGAGGGUUAGGGCUCGACCCCGGAGAAGGAGCCUGAGAAACGGCUACUACAUCCAAGGAAGGCAGCAGGCGCGCAAAUUACCCAAUCCCGACACGGGGAGGUAGUGACAAUAAAUACUGAUACAGGGCUCUUUUGGGUCUUGUAAUUGGAAUGAGUACAAUUUAAAUCCCUUAACGAGGAACAAUUGGAGGGCAAGUCUGGUGCCAGCAGCCGCGGUAAUUCCAGCUCCAAUAGCGUAUAUUAAAGUUGUUGUGGUUAAAAAGCUCGUAGUUGAACCUUGGGCCUGGCUGGCCGGUCCGCCUCACCGCGUGUACUGGUCCGGCCGGGCCUUUCCCUCUGUGGAACCCCAUGCCCUUCACUGGGUGUGGCGGGGAAACAGGACUUUUACUGUGAAAAAAUUAGAGUGCUCCAGGCAGGCCUAUGCUCGAAUACAUUAGCAUGGAAUAAUAGAAUAGGACGUGUGGUUCUAUUUUGUUGGUUUCUAGGACCGCCGUAAUGAUUAAUAGGGACAGUCGGGGGCAUCAGUAUUCAAUUGUCAGAGGUGAAAUUCUUGGAUUUAUUGAAGACUAACUACUGCGAAAGCAUUUGCCAAGGAUGUUUUCAUUAAUCAGGAACGAAAGUUAGGGGAUCGAAGACGAUCAGAUACCGUCGUAGUCUUAACCAUAAACUAUGCCGACUAGGGAUCGGAAGGGUGUUAUUUUUUGACCCGUUCGGCACCUUACAAGAAAUCAAAGUGUUGGGCUCCCGGGGGGAAUAUGGUCGCAAGGCUGAAACUUAAGAAAUUGACGGAGGGCCCCCCCCGGGGGUGGAGCCCGCGGGUUAAUUUGACCCAACCGGGGAAACUCCCCGGCCCAACCCAUGGGGUUGGCAGAAUUGGAAACCUUUUUUGUUUUUUUGGGGGGGGGGGGGGGGGCCCCCUCUUUUUGGGGGGGGAG
RNAcentral lists this ribosomal RNA (1245 nucleotides) under Fusarium proliferatum. RNAcentral's name for it is "partial small subunit ribosomal RNA". It matches the Rfam family "Eukaryotic small subunit ribosomal RNA", at positions 51 to 1308 of the family's 1831-position model. Lineage: Eukaryota; Fungi; Ascomycota; Sordariomycetes; Hypocreales; Nectriaceae. The record is from RNAcentral.